AACGCACAUUGCGCCCAUUGGCAUUCCGAUGGGCAUGCCUGUUCGAGCGUCAUUAUCCUCCCUCAAACCCCUGGGUUUGGUGUUGGACUCUGUUGUGCGGGUGUGGCACAACUGGUCUGAAAGACAAUGACGGCGUCCGUGGGACCCUCGAUGCAACGAGCUUUUCGAAGCACGCGUCGAGUGCCUCGUCCCUCCGGGCCCGGUCUCCCUUUUUUUUUCUAGGUUGACCUCGGAUCAGGUAGGAAUACCCGCUGAACUUAA
This 261-nucleotide unclassified non-coding RNA is filed under the name uncultured fungus. Its description in RNAcentral is "partial contains 5.8S ribosomal RNA, internal transcribed spacer 2, and large subunit ribosomal RNA". Lineage: Eukaryota; Fungi. The record is from RNAcentral.